This 338-nucleotide unclassified non-coding RNA is filed under the name soil metagenome. Its description in RNAcentral is "partial contains 5.8S ribosomal RNA, internal transcribed spacer 2, and large subunit ribosomal RNA". The stretch from base 1 to 120 matches the Rfam family "5.8S ribosomal RNA", at positions 35 to 154 of the family's 154-position model. The record is from RNAcentral.
GAUGAAGAACGUAGCGAAAUGCGAUAAGUAAUGUGAAUUGCAGAAUUCAGUGAAUCAUCGAAUCUUUGAACGCACAUUGCGCCCGCCAGUAUUCUGGCGGGCAUGCCUGUCUGAGCGUCAUUUCAACCCUCAAGCAACUUCUGCUUGGUGUUGGGGAUCGGCCGUUAAACGCCGCCCCCGAAAUCUAUUGGCGAUCUCGCUGUAGCUUCCUAUGCGUAGUAGUAACAUCUCGCAUCUGGAGAGCGGCGCGGUCAUGCCGUAAAACACCCAACUUCUCAGGUUGACCUCAGAUCAGGUAGGAAUACCCGCUGAACUUAAGCAUAUCAAUCAGCGGAGGA